GACGAACGCUGGCGGCGUGCUUAACACAUGCAAGUCGAACGGAGUGGCGAACGGGUGCGUAACACGUGGGUGACCUGCCCUGCACUUUGGGAUAAGCCUGGGAAACCGGGAGUAAUACCGGAAAGUGUGGGAUGGGCCCGGGGCCUAUCCGUUUGUUGGUGGGGUAAUGGACUACCAGGGCGGCGACGGGUAGCCGGCCUGAGAGGGUGGACGGCCACAUGUGGACUGGGACACGGGCCAGACUCGUACGGGAGACAGCUGUGUGGAAGAUAGCACGAUGGGCGGAAGCAUGGUGCAGGAACGCCGCGUGGUGGGUGGCGGCCUUCUGGUUGUAAACUCCUUACACCAGCGACUCGGUAGAUGGAGAAGAAGCACCGGCUAACUACGUGCCAGCCGCCGCGGUAAUUC
Molecule: ribosomal RNA, 408 nt
Filed under: uncultured bacterium
Lineage: Bacteria
Description: partial 16S ribosomal RNA
Rfam family: Bacterial small subunit ribosomal RNA
Source: RNAcentral